AGCGAACGCUGGCGGCAGGCUUAACACAUGCAAGUCGAGCGGGCAUCUUCGGAUGUCAGCGGCAGACGGGUGAGUAACACGUGGGAACGUACCCUUCGGUUCGGAACAACUCUGGGAAACUGGAGCUAAUACCGGAUACGCCCUUAUGGGGAAAGGUUUACUGCCGAAGGAUCGGCCCGCGUCUGAUUAGCUAGUUGGUGGGGCAACGGCCUACCAAGGCGACGAUCAGUAGCUGGUCUGAGAGGAUGAUCAGCCACACUGGGACUGAGACACGGCCCAGACUCCUACGGGAGGCAGCAGUGGGGAAUAUUGGACAAUGGGCGCAAGCCUGAUCCAGCCAUGCCGCGUGAGUGAUGAAGGCCUUAGGGUUGUAAAGCUCUUUUGUCCGGGACGAUAAUGACGGUACCGGAAGAAUAAGCCCCGGCUAACUUCGUG
RNAcentral lists this ribosomal RNA (435 nucleotides) under uncultured bacterium. RNAcentral's name for it is "partial 16S ribosomal RNA". It matches the Rfam family "Bacterial small subunit ribosomal RNA", at positions 29 to 507 of the family's 1533-position model. The record is from RNAcentral.